AUUGAACGCUGGCGGCAUGCCUUACACGUGCAAGUCGAACGGUAACGCGGGGCAACCUGGCGACGAGUGGCGAACGGGUGAGUAGCGCAUCGGAACGUGCCCAGUAGUGGGGGAUAGCCCGGCGAAAGCCGGAUUAAUACCGCAUACGACCUACGGGUGACAGAGGGGGAUCGCAAGACCUCUCGCCUUUGGAGCGGCCGAAGUCAGAUUAGGUAGUUGGUGGGGUAAAGGCCUACCAAGCCUACGAUCUGUAGCUGGUCUGAGAGGACGACCAGCCACACUGGGACUGAGACACGGCCCAGACUCCUACGGGAGGCAGCAGUGGGGAAUUUUGGACAAUGGGCGCAAGCCUGAUCCAGCCAUGCCGCGUGCGGGAAGAAGGCCUUCGGGUUGUAAACCGCUUUUGUCAGGGAAGAAACGCUCUGGACUAAUACUCUGGGGUAAUGACGGUACCUGAAGAAUAAGCACCGGCUAACUACGUGCCAGCCGCCGCCGUAA
RNAcentral lists this ribosomal RNA (498 nucleotides) under uncultured bacterium. RNAcentral's name for it is "partial 16S ribosomal RNA". It matches the Rfam family "Bacterial small subunit ribosomal RNA", at positions 29 to 523 of the family's 1533-position model. The record is from RNAcentral.